CCCUUAGAUGUCCUGGGCUGCACGCGCGCUACACUGAUGUGUCCAGUAAGCACCUAACCUCUUCCGAAGGGAACGGGUAACCUUAGCAAAGCACAUCGUGAUGGGGAUAGAUUAUUGCAAUUAUUAGUCUUGAACGAGGAAUUCCUAGUAAGCACAAGUCAUCAGCUUGUGUUGAUUACGUCCCUGCCCUUUGUACACACCGCCCGUCGCUCCUACCGAUUGAGUGGUCCGGUGAGGCUUUGGGAUCUGAGCAAAAAGAGCGUUUCGCUCGUUUGGCUCGGAAAACUCAGUCGAACCUUACCAUUUAGAGGAAGGAGAAGUCGUAACA
RNAcentral lists this ribosomal RNA (328 nucleotides) under uncultured eukaryote. RNAcentral's name for it is "partial 18S ribosomal RNA". It matches the Rfam family "Eukaryotic small subunit ribosomal RNA", at positions 1470 to 1796 of the family's 1831-position model. The record is from RNAcentral.